RNAcentral lists this ribosomal RNA (253 nucleotides) under uncultured bacterium. RNAcentral's name for it is "partial 16S ribosomal RNA". It matches the Rfam family "Bacterial small subunit ribosomal RNA", at positions 524 to 776 of the family's 1533-position model. The record is from RNAcentral.
UACAGAGGUCCCGAGCGUUGUUCGGAUUCACUGGGCGUAAAGGGUGCGUAGGUGGCGAGGUAAGUCGGAUGUGAAAGCUCGGAGCUCAACUCCGAAAUGGCAUUGGAAACUACCUUGCUCGAGGGUUGGAGGGGGGACUGGAAUACUUGGUGUAGCAGUGAAAUGCGUAGAUAUCAAGUGGAACACCAGUGGCGAAGGCGAGUCUCUGGACAUUUCCUGACGCUGAGGCACGAAAGCCAGGGGAGCGAACGGG